This is a long non-coding RNA of Neofelis nebulosa (Clouded leopard), 4257 nucleotides long. RefSeq lists it as uncharacterized. Lineage: Eukaryota; Metazoa; Chordata; Mammalia; Carnivora; Felidae. The record is from RefSeq and is a predicted model, not a curated record. The transcript is spliced from 3 exons.
AGGAUGUGGUAUUUUGUCAAAUGUUUUUUCUGCAGCUAUUGACAAGAUCAUAUGGUUUUUAUCCUUUCUUCUGUUAAUGUGAUGUAUCACAUUGAUUGAUUUGUAAAUAUUGAACCAGCCCUGCAGCUCAGGAAUGAAUCCCACUUGAUCAUGGUGAAUAAUUCUUUUAAUGUACUGUUGAAUUUGAUUUGCUAGUAUCUUGUUGAGAAUUUUUACAUCCAUAUUCAUCAGGGAUAUUUGCCUAUAAUUCUCCUUUUUAGUGGGGUCUUUGGUUUGGGGAUCAAGGAAAGCUGGCUUCACAGAAUGAGUCUGGAAGCUUUCCUUCCAUUUCUAUUUUUUGGAACAGUUUGAGAAAAAUAGGUAUUAACUCUGCUUUAAAUGUCUGGUAGAAUUCCCCUGGGAAGCCAUCUGGCCCAGGACUUUUAUUUAUUGGGAGAUUUUUGGUAACUGAUUCAAUUUCUUUGGUUAUGGGUCUGUUCAAAUUUUCUAUUUCUUCCCAUUUGAGUUUUGGUAGGUGCGGGUGAUUUGUCCAUUUCUUUCUGAUUAUCCAGUUUGUUGGCAUAUAAUUUUUCAUAGUAUUCUCUAAUAAUUAUUUGUAUUUCUGUGGUGUUGGUUAUGAUUUCUCCUCUUUCAUUCAUGAUUUUAUCUAUUUGGGUCCUCUUCUUUUUGAGAAGUCUGGCUAGGGGUUUAUUAAUUUUGUUUAUUCUUUCAAAAAAACAGCUCUUAGAUUUAUUGAUCUGUUCUACUGUUUUUUUAGGAUUCUAUAUUGUUUAUUUUUGCCUUAAUCUUUAUUAUUUCCCUUCUUCUGCGGGCUUUGGGGUUUAUUUGCUGCUGCUUUUCUAGCUUCUUUAGGUGUAAGGUUAGGUUUGUAUUUGGGACCUUUCUUGCUUCUUAAGAUAGGCCUGAAUUGCGAUAUAUUUUCCUCUUAGGACUGUUUUUGCUGGGGCACCUGGGGUUUGGACUGUGAUGUUUUCAUUUUCAUUUGUUCCAUGUAUUUAAAAAAAUUUUUUUAAUGUUUAUUUAUUUUUAAGAGAGAGAGAGAGAGAGAGAGAGAAUGUGAGAGGGGGAGGGGCAGAGAGAGAGGGAGAAACAGAAUCUGCAGCAGGCUCCAGGCUCUGAGCUGGAGUCUGACGUGGGGCUGGAACUCUCAGACCGUGAGAUCAUGACCUGAGCUGAAGUUGGAUGCUUAACCGACUGAGCCACCCAGGCACCCCUGCUUCCAUGUAUUUUUAAAUUUCUUCUUUAAUUCCCUGGUUAACUCAUUUAUUCUUUAGUAGAAUGUUCUUUAACCUCCAUGUAUUUGGGGGCUUUCCAAAUUUUUUCUUGUGGUUGAUUUCAAGUUUCAUAGCAUUGUGAUCUGAAAAUAUGCAUGGUAUGAUCUCAGUCUUUUGUACUUGUUGAGGGCUGUUUUGUGACUAGUAUGUGAUCUCUUUUGGAGAAUAUUCCAUGUGCACUUGAGAAGAAUGUGUAUUCUGCUGCUUUAGGAUGAAAAGUUCUACAUAUAUCUGUUAUGUCCAUUUGGCCCAAUGUGUCAUUCAGAGCCAUUGUUUCGUUACUGAUUAGAUGAUCUGUCCAUUGUUGUAAGUGGAAUAUUAAAAUCACCCAGUGAUGGGCAUUGAGGAGGGCACUUGUUGGGAUGAACACUGGGUGUUGUAUGGAAACCAAUUUGACAGUAAAUUAUAUUAAAAAAUUAAAUUGAAUUAAAAUCAUCCACAAUUAUGGUAUUAUUAUCAAUAAGUUUGUUUAUGUUUGUGAUUAAUUGAUUUAUAUAUUUGGGUGCUUCACAUUGGGGGUAUAAACAUUUACAGUUGUUAGCUCUUCUUGAUGGUAGACCCCUUAAUUAUGAUAUAAUGCCCUUCUUCAUUUCUUGUUACAGUCUUUCUUUUAAAAUCUAGUUUGCCUGUUAUAAGUAUGGCUACUCCAGCUUUCUUUUGACUUCCAGUAGCAUGAUAGAUGGUUCUCCAUCCCCUCACUUUCAAUCUGAAGGUGUCCUCUGGUCUAAAAUGAGUCUCUUGGUGCAUUUAGUCCAUUUAAAUUCAGAGUGAUUAUUAAAGAUAUGAAUUUAGUGCCAUUGUGUUAUCUUUAGAUUUCAUGUUUGUGGUGAUAUCUCUGGUCCUUUGUAGUCUUUGCUGCUUUCCACUCACAGAGUCCCCCUUAGGAUCUCCUGCAGGGCUGGUUUAGUGGUCAUGAACUCCUUUAGGUUUUGUUUAUCUGGGAAAGCCUUUGUCUCUUCUUCUUAUAUUCUGAAUGACAACCUUGCUGGAUAAAGGAUUCUUGGCUGCAUGUUUUUCCUAUUCAGCACAUGGAAUAUUUCCUGCCACUCCUUUCUGGCCUGCCCAGUUUCAGUGGACAGGUCUGCUACUACCCUUAUGUGUCUUCCCUUGUAGGUUAAGGACCAUUCGUCCCUAGCUGCUUUCAGAAUUCUCUCUUUAUCUUUGUGUUUUGCCAGUUUUACUGUGAUAUGCCAUGGUGUUGACCUGUUUUUGUUGAUUUUGAGGGGAGUUCUCUGUGCCUCUUGGACUUGGAUGACUAUUUCCUUCCCCUCGCUCUUCUUCUUCUAGAACUCCUAUGAUACAGAUAUUGUUUCAUUUUAUGCACUUAGCUCUCUAAUUCUUCCCUCAUGAUCUAGUAAUUUCAUUUCCCUCUUUUUUUUCAGCUUCAUCAUUUUCCAUAAUUUUAUUUUCUAUUUUACCUAUUCUCCUGUUUCUUCCAUCCUUGCUGUCACUAUAUCUAGUUUAUUUUGCAUGCCAUUUAUAGCAUUUCUUAAUUCAUUGUAACUAGUUCUUAGGUCUUUUAUCUCUGCAUCAAGAGAUUCUCUGCUGUCUUCUAUGCUUCUUUUUUUUAAAGCCCAGUUAUUAGUCUUAUGACUGUUAUUCUAAAUUCUUGUUCAGAUAUAUUGUUUAUAUCUGUUUUGAGCAAUUCUCUGGCUGUGAUUUCUUCCUUAAUUUCUUUUGGGGAAAAUUCUUCUGUUUUGUCAUUUUGGUUAAGUUUCUGUCUUUUGCGUGUUUUAAUAGCUUGUCCUGCGCCUGUGAGUACUAGGAUAUUAAAAAGGGGUCAUACACUGUCCAGGGCCUGGCACUUCAGAAGUGUCCUGCACCUUGAUCCUGCAAAGCUGUCUCCCUCUAACUGUGGAGAUCCUUUUGCUACCCUGCAGAUUGCAUGCACUCUGCUGUUGCAUUUUGCUUGCUCUAUCCCACUGGUCAGUCCUCUACAAAGCUCUUCCUUGCUUGUAGUGGUGGAAUGUUUGGGCCUUCAACCAGGUGUUCUGUGAUUUGUUUGUUGAAAUAACCCUGGAAAAAAAGGAAAACGUGGGGGAAGACUGAUCCCAUAAAAAGAGAGAAAUGAAAGGGUAGAAAAGAAGACCAAAUAGAGAAUCAAAAACUAUAAAGCUAAAUCCAGAGAAAGAGAAAGGAAAAUAAAGAUAAAGAGAUAGAAAAGGCGUAGGGAAGUCGGGCCUGUUUUUUGUGGCGCCUCAGAGGCGGUAGGCUGCUUCAGGAUGAAACUGAACAUCUCUUUCCCAGCUACUGGCUGCCAGAAACUCAUUGAAGUGGAUGACGAAUGGAAAUUUUGUACCAUUUUUGAGAAGCGGAAUGGCCACCGAAGUUGUUGCUGAUGAACAAGGUGAAGAAUGGAAGGGUUACCUGGUCUGAAUCGGUGGUGGCAGUGACACACAAGGCUUCCCCAUGAAGAAGGUGUCUUGACCCAUGGCCAUGUCCACGUGCUGCUGAGUAAGGGGCAUUCCUGCUACUGACUAAGGAGGACUGGAGAAAGAAAGUGCAAAUCUGCUCAGGGUUGCAUUGUGGUUGCCAAUCUCAGUGUUCUCAACGGGUCUUCGUGAAGAAAGGGAAGAAGGGUAUUUCUGGACUCACUGAUACUACUGUGCCUCAUCACCUGGGGCCCAAAAGAGCUAGCAAAAUCUGCAAACUUUACAGUCUCUCAAAGGAAGAUGAUGUCCACCAGUCUGUUGUGAGAAAGCCCCUUAACAGAGAAGGGUGAUGUGUUUUAGGAGGAAGACCUCAGAGAUAAAGUGCUAUUCUCAUCAUGGGUACACACUGUCAACAUGACUCAUUACUGGGUGCUGCACUUGAUCUCCAGGCUGAGGUAAUGUUUGUCAGGUUUGCUUACUGCAAAAUUACUCCUCCCCCCCCACCUUUCCAUUUUGUACUCUCUGGAAGGAAGUCUCAGUCUUAGUGCAUUUGGGAUGCUGUAAUAGAAUACCACAGAUCAAGUAGCUUAUAAACAACAAAAAUUUAUUUC